This 397-nucleotide ribosomal RNA is filed under the name uncultured bacterium. RNAcentral's name for it is "partial 16S ribosomal RNA". It matches the Rfam family "Bacterial small subunit ribosomal RNA", at positions 523 to 918 of the family's 1533-position model. The record is from RNAcentral.
AUACGUAGGGGGCGAGCGUUGUCCGGAAUGAUUGGGCGUAAAGGGCGCGUAGGCGGCUUUGCAAGUCAGUAGUGGAAGUCCAUUUUUCAAGGAUGGAAGUGCUACAGAAACUGCGGAGCUUGAGUGCAGGAGAGGUUAUCGGAAUUCCCGGUGUAGCGGUGAAAUGCGUAGAGAUCGGGAGGAACACCAGUGGCGAAGGCGGGUAACUGGACUGCAACUGACGCUGAGGCGCGAAAGUGUGGGGAGCAAACAGGAUUAGAUACCCUGGUAGUCUACACUGUAAACGAUGAAUGCUAGGUGUAGGAGGUAUCGACCCCUUCUGUGCCGCAGUAAACACAGUAAGCAUUCCGCCUGGGGAGUACGGUCGCAAGAUUAAAACUCAAAUGAAUUGACGGGG